RNAcentral lists this ribosomal RNA (299 nucleotides) under Agrocybe pediades. Its description in RNAcentral is "partial small subunit ribosomal RNA". Lineage: Eukaryota; Fungi; Basidiomycota; Agaricomycetes; Agaricales; Agrocybaceae. The record is from RNAcentral.
UUAGUCGGUCUCGGAGCAAACGAAGUGAAGCAUGUUAUUUAAUACGAAAGUACGCGUAAAAUCUUACCAGUUCUUGCAUAAACCAAUCUCUCUUUGAUUUUUAAUUGGGAUUGUUUUUAUAACUUCUUAAAUUAAAAAUUUAAGACUAGAUUGUAUAGUUUCUUAUAUUUACUUAUUUUAUUGACUUUUUACUAUUUACUUUUGUUUUUUUAAUUUAAAUAAAAAACAAAGUUUAAAACAUAGAAGUAAAUAAAAUUAAAAAAAGAGACUUGUUUACAGGUGUUGCAUGGCUGUCGUCA